GACGCACGCUGGCGGCGUGCUUAACACAUGCAAGUCGAGCGGAAAGGCCCUGCUUUUGUGGGGUGCUCGAGUGGCGAACGGGUGAGUAACACGUGAGUAACCUGCCCUUGACUUUGGGAUAACUUCAGGAAACUGGGGCUAAUACCGGAUAGGAGCUCCUGCUGCAUGGUGGGGGUUGGAAAGUUUCGGCGGUUGGGGAUGGACUCGCGGCUUAUCAGCUUGUUGGUGGGGUAGUGGCUUACCAAGGCUUUGACAGGUAGCCGGCCUGAGAGGGUGACCGGCCACAUUGGGACUGAGAUACGGCCCAGACUCCUACGGGAGGCAGCAGUGGGGAAUAUUGCACAAUGGGCGGAAGCCUGAUGCAGCAACGCCGCGUGCGGGAUGACGGCCUUCGGUUUGUAAACCGCUUUCGCCUGUGACGAAGCGUGAGUGACGGUAAUGGGUAAAGAAGCACCGGCUAACUACGUG
This 468-nucleotide ribosomal RNA is filed under the name uncultured bacterium. Its description in RNAcentral is "partial 16S ribosomal RNA". It matches the Rfam family "Bacterial small subunit ribosomal RNA", at positions 28 to 507 of the family's 1533-position model. The record is from RNAcentral.